This 87-nucleotide transfer RNA is filed under the name Cellvibrionaceae bacterium. Its description in RNAcentral is "tRNA-Leu". It matches the Rfam family "tRNA". From Rfam's summary of the family: Transfer RNA (tRNA) molecules are approximately 80 nucleotides in length. RNAcentral also lists the same sequence under 1 other name. Lineage: Bacteria; Pseudomonadati; Pseudomonadota; Gammaproteobacteria; Cellvibrionales; Cellvibrionaceae. The record is from RNAcentral.
GCCGAAGUGGUGGAAUUGGUAGACACGCCAUCUUGAGGGGGUGGUGAGCUUAUGCUCGUGCGGGUUCAAGUCCCGCCUUCGGCACCA